GUUAAAUUAUUUUUUUGUACCUCACUUAAAUGGAAUCAUUUCUAUGAUUAUAGAGCAGUCAUAAAUUCUAUUUCCAACAUAUUAGCAAGCUAUCUUGAUUUAUAUAUAAUCCAAUGCCCUGAAAACCUAAGGGUUCCUCUGCAAGGUUCGCCCACGGAGGGUGAGUUGGGCCCUAAGAUUAGGCUGAAAGGCGCAGUCGAUGGACAAUGGGUGAAUAUUCAUGUACUACCCCUUGUUGGUCCUAAGGGACGGAAGAGGAUAGGUUAGCCGAAAGAUGGUUAUCGGUUCAAGGACGCAAGGUGACCCUGUUUUUUUCAGGGUAAGAAGGGGUAGAUAAAAUGCCUCGAGCCAAUUUAUGAGUACCAAGCGCUACAGUGUUGAAGUAACCCAUGCCAAACUCCCAUGAAAAUAUCGAAUGACCUUUAACAAACAGGUACCUGCACCUAAAACCGACACAGGUAGGUAGGUAGAGAAUACCUAGGGGUGUGAGACAACUCUCUCUAAGGAACUCGGUAAAAUAGCCCCAUAAAUUCAGGAGAAGGGGUGCCUCCUCAUGAGGUCGCAGUGACCAGGCUCGGGUGACUGUUUACCAAAAACACAGGUCUCUGCAAAUUUGUAAGACCAUGUAUGGGGGCUGAUGUAUGCCCAAUGCUGAAAGGUUAAGGAAGUUGGUGACCUGAUGAUGGGGAAUCCAAUGAUCGAAUCCCCAAUGAAUGGCAGUUGUAACUAUAACGGUCCUAAGGUAGUGAAAUUAUUUGUCGAGUAAGUUUCGACCCACACGAAAGGUGUAACAAUAUGGGCAUUGUCUCGAAGAGACGCUUGGUGAAGUGGACAUGUUUAUGAAGAUGCAGACUACCUACACCUGGAUAGAAAGACCCUAUGAAGAUUUAUUGUUCCCUGUGAUUGUAUUUGGGUUCUUCUUACACAUCUUAGGUGGAAGGUGAAGAAGGCCCCCUUCUAGGGGGGCCUGAUCCACUAGUGAGAUACCACUCUGGAAGAGCUAGAAUUAUAACCUUGUAUCAAAACCUAGAGGCCAAGGGACAGUCUCAGGUAGACAAUUUAUAUGGGGCAUAGGCAUCCAAAAAGGUAACGGAGGUGUGCAAAGGUUUCCUUGGGCCAAACGAAAAUUGUCCCUUGAGUGCAAAGGAAGAAGGGAUAUUAACUGCAAGACCCACCUGUCGAGCAGGAAUAAAAUUUAGCCUUAGUGAUCCGACGUUGCCGAGUGGAAGGUUCAUCACUCAACAGAUAAAAGUUACUAUAGGGAUAACAGGUUGAUCUUCCUCAAGAGUUCACAUCGACAAAAAGGUUUGCCACCUCGAUGUCAGCUCUUCGCCACUUGGGGCAGUAGUACGUUCCAAGGGUUGGGUUGUUCUCCCAUUAAAGUGGUACGUGCGUUGGGUUUAGAAUUUUGUGAGAUAGUUCGGUCCAUAUCUGGUGCGAGUGUUAGAGAAUUGAGAGGACCUUUCCCUAGUACGAGAGGAUCGGGAAGGACACACCUCUGGUGUACCAGUUAUCAUGCCCAUUGUAGAUGUUGGGUAGCCAUGUGCAGAGCAGAUAAAUACUGAAAUCAUAUAAGUAGGAAUCCCACCCCAAGAUGAGUUCUCUCCUAUUCUUACUUCCCCGAGAGCCCUAGUCAUGAACACGGCUGGGACAACGAUGGUUUCUCUGUCCUUGCAAGGGAUGGAGCGACAAAAGUAUUGAGAAUCCAAGAUAAGAUCAUGGAGAGACGAGAUGUUUAUCAUUACAAUAGGUGUCAAGUGGAAGUGCACUGAUGUAUGCAGUUGAGGCAUCCUAACAGAUCGAGAGAUUUUAACCU
Molecule: non-coding RNA, 1816 nt
Organism: Picea glauca (white spruce)
Lineage: Eukaryota; Viridiplantae; Streptophyta; Pinopsida; Pinales; Pinaceae
Source: Rfam